RNAcentral lists this transfer RNA (67 nucleotides) under unidentified. Its description in RNAcentral is "Dimorphopterus gibbus tRNA-Ile". The record is from RNAcentral.
AAUAAGAUGCCUGAUAAAAGGGUUAUCUUGAUAGGAUAAAUUAUGUAAUUUACAUUUACUCUUAUUA